UGAUUUCCAACCCCUAAACACACUCGAAAAUGAUGAGUCCCUCCACCUUCCUACACCAUCCUUCUCCCUUUCAUUUAAUUCCAUGGCAUAAUAUAUACAGACUCAUUAAUGUCCUUUACAUGUAUUUGUCUAUCCUCAAAGACCCUUCUAUUCUUAGUCUUCCAUAGUGUAACUGUCACCCUUCCCCGUCCACACCUAAAUCCCAUGCAAGACCCAUGAAUAUAUUUUUGAAAAUGGAUGAUUACACUGUUAUGUAAAGCAGUAUCAAACCCCAACCAUUUUAAACAUUCUUGCCAAACUAGUAAAAACCCCUUACCUUCAAGAAACAAAUGUUUCGUAAAUUCGGUUCACCUUAACACCUAACACACCACAGAUUAUCUUCAACUAGUAUUCCUCUUCUACAAAGAUUUUGCUUUGUAGGAAUUCUAUCAUAUAGUAAUCUCCAUGCAAACUUAGCCUCUCUUAACGUGACCAUUUUGUUCCAAACCUUUCCCGACGGAAUCCUUCAAUUAACACUUCAUCCCUUAAAUUCAUGAGCACUUUGUAUGUUGAACUAACAAUAUAUGUUCCAAUAGAGUCCCUCUUCCAUCUCCAUCUAUCAGAUUUUUCAUUUAGCAACCCCUUAAAAUUCAUCUCAUCUUCCAAUACUUGGACCAAGUCCUUCUCCUAUCCUCAUAGCUCAUUUUCCCAUAGCCAAUUCCAAUUCCACGACUAUUCCACCCAGACUCGUGCAUUUGCCACUUUAACAUUUAGAUCACAUUUGAGAUCAUAAAGUUGUUUAAAAUGACUCCCCAAAACCAUGGUUCCAUCUAGAAGGAAGCAUCCUUUCCAUCCCCCGCGUCCUUAUCUACGCUACUCCUGAAACCACCUUUUUUAAGUGUAGUUUGGAAUACUUGUGGAGCACACUUUAUCAAUGUUCUUUUGUAUUUUGGGAAAACUCUCUAACAAAUAAGACUUACUAUGUAAAAACAAC
RNAcentral lists this long non-coding RNA (973 nucleotides) under Glycine max (soybean). RNAcentral describes it as "long non-coding RNA (GMAX_LNC003376)". The record is from RNAcentral. Lineage: Eukaryota; Viridiplantae; Streptophyta; Magnoliopsida; Fabales; Fabaceae.